RNAcentral lists this transfer RNA (77 nucleotides) under Haematococcus lacustris. RNAcentral's name for it is "tRNA-Ile". It matches the Rfam family "tRNA". Rfam says of the family: Transfer RNA (tRNA) molecules are approximately 80 nucleotides in length. Their secondary structure includes four short double-helical elements and three loops (D, anti-codon, and T loops). Further hydrogen bonds mediate the characteristic L-shaped molecular structure. tRNAs have two regions of fundamental functional importance: the anti-codon, which is responsible for specific mRNA codon recognition, and the 3' end, to which the tRNAs corresponding amino acid is attached (by aminoacyl-tRNA synthetases). tRNAs cope with the degeneracy of the genetic code in two manners: having more than one tRNA (with a specific anti-codon) for a particular amino acid; and 'wobble' base-pairing, i.e. permitting non-standard base-pairing at the 3rd anti-codon position. Lineage: Eukaryota; Viridiplantae; Chlorophyta; Chlorophyceae; Chlamydomonadales; Haematococcaceae. The record is from RNAcentral. RNAcentral also lists the same sequence under 1 other name.
AGCCUCGUAGCUCAGGUGGUUAGAGCACUACACUGAUAAUGUAGGGGUCGGCAGUUCGAGUCUGCCCGAGGCUACCA